Molecule: non-coding RNA, 91 nt
Organism: Mycena metata
Lineage: Eukaryota; Fungi; Basidiomycota; Agaricomycetes; Agaricales; Mycenaceae
Source: the annotation of a GenBank genome assembly
GACCUGGUGGUGAAUGGUUCACACCCACCCUUCUUAAAUAGGCGGCAAUAUUGUACGGUGGGAGUACUCGGUUCGAUUCCGGGUUGGGUCA